Molecule: long non-coding RNA, 1244 nt
Filed under: Sarcophilus harrisii (Tasmanian devil)
Lineage: Eukaryota; Metazoa; Chordata; Mammalia; Dasyuromorphia; Dasyuridae
Description: lncRNA (ENSSHAG00000024163.1)
Source: RNAcentral
AUAAUAACACACCUCAAUCCUGUCAUUGUCAAGGGCAUCAUCAUUCUCUCAGUAACCCCAAGCUCAAAAUUAGUAUCAUCCCAGGUUCCUCUUUCUUAUUACACAAAUCCAGUGAAUGACCAAGGCCAGUCCAUUUCACCUCUGCAGCAUCUCUUGUCCAUUUCCACCUUUGCAACAUCUCAUGUUGAUUUCACCUCUGCAAUAACUCUUAUCCAUUUCACUUUUACAAUAUCUCAGGUUGAUUUCACCUCUGCCACACCUGUGGGUUUCACCUUUUCAACAUUUCUCCUUGAUUUCACCUCUUGUCCAUUUUACCUCUGCAGCAUCUCUUGUCCAUUUCCUCUUUGCAGCAUCUUUUGUCCAUUUCACCUCUGCAGCAUCUCUUGUCCAUUUCCUCUUUGCAGCAUCUCUUGUCCAUUUCCCCUUUGCAGCAUCUCUUGUCCAUUUUCCCUUUGUAGCAUUUCUAGCCCAUCUGCAACAUCUCUGAUUAAUUUUACUUUUGCAGCCUCUCUUGUUCGUUUCACUUCUGAAGCAUCUCUUGUCCGUUUCCCCUUUGCAGCAUCUUUUGUCCAUUUUCCCUUUGUAACAUCUCUUGCCCAUUUCCCCUUGCAGCAUCUCUUGUCCUUUUCAUCUCUGCAGCAUCUCUUUUCUAUUUCCCCUUUGCAGCAUCUUUUGUUCAUUUUCUCUUUGUAGCAUUUCUUGCCCAUUUCCCCUUUGCAACAUCUCUGAUCAAUUUUACCUUUGCAGCAUCUCUAGUUGUUUUACCUUUGCAGCAUCUCUUGUCCAUUUCCUCUUUGCAGCAUCUUUUGUCCAUUUCACCUCUGCAGCAUCUCUUGUACAUUUCCCCUUUACAGCAUCUUUUGUCCAUUUUCCCUUUGUAGCAUUUCUAGCCCAUCUGCAACAUCUCUGAUUAAUUUUACUUUUGCAGCCUCUCUUGUUCAUUUCACUUCUGAAGCAUCUCUUGUCCAUUUCCCCUUUGCAGCAUCUCUUGUCCUUUUCAUCUCUGCAGCAUCUCUUUUCUAUUUCCCCUUUGCAGCAUCUUUUGUUCAUUUUCUCUUUGUAGCAUUUCUUGCCCAUUUCCCCUUUGCAUCAUCUCUGAUCAAUUUACCUUUGCAGCAUCUCUGGUUGAUUCUACCUUUGCAGCAUUUCUUGUCCAUUUCCCUUUUGCAGCAUCUUUUGUCCACUUUCCCUUUGUAGCAUUUCUUGCCCAUUUUCCCUUUGCAACAUCUCUGAUUAAUUUUACU